This 3348-nucleotide long non-coding RNA is filed under the name Homo sapiens (human). Its description in RNAcentral is "HSALNT0226609". Lineage: Eukaryota; Metazoa; Chordata; Mammalia; Primates; Hominidae. The record is from RNAcentral.
GGGCAGCCUCAUCUGCAGAUGACAGUGUCCCUGCAGGCACCUGCUCCUGGAGACAGCUAUCCUUCUGAGUUGCCCUGAGGACACACCCAGAGGGGCACAAUGCUGGGAGAUGGCACUGGGCACUCUUGACCUGCUUCCAGGAGAGCCAUGUGUGGCCCCAGCAGGGCCGGAGGAAAUGGGCCAAGAACACAGGUGUACCAUCAGGGGUAUGACCAAAGGUGCUUUAUUUUCUUAUCAUUAAAAGUUAAGGCUUAAACAAUGAUACAGUGAAGUUUUUUGUUUUUUGUUUUUUGUUUUUGAGAUGGAGUCUCACUCUGUCACCCAGGCUGGAUUGCAGUGGCGCAAUCUCAGCUCACCGCAAGCUCUGCCUCCCAUGUUUAAAUAAAAUAAAAUGCCAGAGGUAAAGACAACGUGGUGCAAGUAGGACUCGGCACCGUACAAGCUGCUUGGUGCAAGGAGGCUCCCCAAAGUCGAGGGCGGCAGGGGAGGUGGAGCCCUGAGCUGCUCCCGCUGGACAGCAGGCACUGAGGGGGCAAGAGGUUGGAGGCAGACGACUGCAAUGACCCCAAGGACAGGGCAGCUCCCCCUUCUCGCUCACCCCAAGCUUUCAGGGUUGAUGGAAAAGGGCCUGAGUGGGCCCUCCUCUUUGAGGACCCAGUGGGGUGGGCAGGGAGUCCAGCCGGCCCUGACCACUAGGCAGCAGUGUUCGGCGUUUCUUCUGCAGGCAGGUGGGCAGGUGGAGGACCCCAUUGGCUCACAGGUGCUAUAGUAGCCAUUGGGUUUUUUUGGACACAAACUUCCAAAUGACCAGGGCCGGGGGCUGCACCUGCACCACGACCAGGUUUUUCAGAACGGGUGUCAGAUAAACGCUCAGCCCUAGGCAGCCUGGACCCCAUGUCUGGUUUCAGGGUGCACCCUGAAGGCCAACACGGCCUCCUCACACUCCACCCAGGGGGUCAGGGCUCACCGCCGCAGCCCUUGCCCGCCUCAGACCCUGAUCCAUUCAUUCAGUUCCCUGAGCACCUACUAUUGUGCCAGGUGCUGAGUGAGGCCCCUGCCAGACAAAGACAAGUUAGAGUCCCUACCCUCAAGACCUGGCAGCCUACCAGGGAGCAGUAGCGUCCCCAACGGUACAGCCAAUGCCGCACCAGAAGUGUGGUUCCUAGAAGCAGGGGGGACAAGGGAAGGAGGUGCUGGGACUAGCUCGGUGGGUCGCAGAAGAGGUGAUCUCUGAAUUAGGACUUGAAAGAUGAAGAGAGGGCAUAGAGCAGGGGAGAAACAUGAUCCAGUCUGUAUUUAAGUAAGUCACAGACUGGUCGGGCACAUGGCUCACACCUGUAAUCCCAGCACUUUGUGAGGCCAAAGUGGGCGGAUCACCUAUGGUCAGGAGUUGGAGACCAGCCUGGCCGACAUGGUGAAAUCCCGUCUGUACUAAAAAUGCAAAAAUUAGCCGGGUGUGGUGGCGGGUGCCUGUAAUCCCAGCUACUAGGGAGGCUGAGGCAGGAUAAUCGCUUGAACCCGGGACGGGGAGGUUGCAGUGAGCAGAGAUCAUGCCACUGCACUCCAGCCUGGGUGACAGAGCAAGACUCCAUCUCAAAAAAACAAAAACAUGAAAAUGAAACCCAAAGUCAUAAGAUAGAGAGGCAUGGGGAGCAGCUGCUUGCUGGGGCCAGGUUUUCCUUUAGGAGUGGGGAAAUGCCAUGGAACUGGAGGUGGUGGUUCCACAACAUGCUCAUUCAUGCAACCACCACCUCUGUCUGGGGUCGUUCAAAUGGUUGGAUAGUAUGUCAAUUUCACUUCAAUUUUUUUAAAAGAAAAAUGAAACAGUUUCAUGGCAGGCUAGAGGGAAGACUGUGCCCUGGACACCUGCCACAGACUAGGCCCGGAAAGCAGCCUGAGGGAAGGCUGCUGGUAGAGGCGGCAGGAAGGGAGGGGGCGGCACUGCCUGGCCAAGCUCUGGGCAGACACCAGCCCCACAGUGAGCUGGCCUGCAGGAGGAAGCAGCCCUGCGCCCCACCUCCCAGGCCAGAGCGCUCUGCACGCCCCGCUCAGGGACAAUCUUGCCCAAUUCUGGCCUGAGUGUGUGUCCUAAUGUCAAGCACAAGACAGUCCGAGCACUUACAGUAAGUGCAAGAGUUACUGCAGGGAGCGUGGCGGGUGUGGGAAGGGGGUGUCCCGCCACCACAGGCCCCAGGAGCACACCUGGAGAAUCUCUGAUCACCCUGGACGCACAGCAGCAGCGCACACCAACCCACAGGGGCUUCAGUUCAUUCUGCAGUGCUAGGCACUCCUGCCCCUUGAGACUGACAGUCUUUAGGACAGGGGGUGGGGAGACCAGCCAACACCUGUCUCAGGUGCUGUGAAGCUAGAACGCGGACCCGGCCUCAGCGGGGAGCUCAGGGAAAUCCUGGGAGGGACACUAGGGCCCAGGCAUGAGGAGUGGCAAAUAGCACGCGCAAAGGCCGGGAAACAGAGGCUUUCAGUUCAGAGGAACUGAAAGAAACCUGGUGCCAGAGAGCCUGUGGCUGUGUUGGGGGCCAAGCUUCCUGCCAGGCUAGCAGACCAGGAGGCCUCUCAGACCCGGGACAGGUGCUGCCCCAACAGUCCCCUGAAGGUACUGAAGGAAGGUGUUCAGAGGAGCAAAGAAAGAGGGCUUGGCAGGAAGGGGCCACCCCCGUGGCCAGUCUGGGGAAGAGGAACCCAGGAGCAUAGAGUGGGCAGAGGCAGCUCACGUGACGGCAGGCAGAGGCUCCACAGCAGCUGCAGGGAGGGCCCCCAGCAGCCUCGGUCUCACUGGAGGAACUGGACAGGGAGGGGGCAUCUGUGCAGGGCUCAAAAGAAAAAAGGCAUUCUAUUUUUCUUUGUAUUAUACCGAUCCACAAUUAAACACAAGGUACUAAAAAGACGUGGCCGGGCACGGUGGCUCACCCCUAUAAUCCCAGCACUUUGGGAGGCCGAGGCAGGCGGAUAACUUGAGGCCAGGAGUUAGGGACCAGCCCGGCCAACAUGGUGAAAUCCGGUCUCUACUGAAAAUACAAAAAUUAGCCGGACAUGGUGGCAGGUGCCUGUAAUCCCAGCUACUCAGGAGGCUGAGGCAGGAGGAUACCUCAAACCUGGAAGUUGGAAGUUGCAGUGAGCCAAGAUCGCACCACCACAUUCCAGGCUGGGCGAUACAGCAAGACUCCGUCUCAAACAAAAAAAAAGACAUUCAUUAAUAUUGACGUGGCCAGGCGCGGUGGCUCACGCCUGUAAUCCCAGCACUUUGCGAGGCCGAGGCGGGUGGAUCACGAGGUCAGGAGAUAAUUCCAUCCUAGCUAACAGGGUGAAACCCCGUCUCUACUAAAAAUA